This is an unclassified non-coding RNA of Erinaceus europaeus (western European hedgehog), 322 nucleotides long. Its record names the gene 7SK. It matches the Rfam family "7SK RNA". From Rfam's summary of the family: 7SK was discovered as an abundant small nuclear RNA in the mid-70s but a possible function has only recently been suggested. The record is from Ensembl. NCBI's taxonomy places the organism in Eukaryota, Metazoa, Chordata, Mammalia, Eulipotyphla, Erinaceidae.
GAGAGUGAGAGUGAUCUGGCUGCGAUAUCUGUCUUUCCGUUAACUACCAGGGUUGAUUCAGUCUGAUCUGGCUGGCAAGCUGAGUGUUCCUUUUCCUCCCUCACCGCUCCAUGUACAUUUCUCCCAAAAUUGCCCGCUCAGUCAGAGAGGAAGACCAUUCCCAAAUAGAGACGGACUGAAAUAUUAUAUAUGGGUACACAAGUAGUUCUCUUGCUAGAAUGUCCAAACAAACUCUCCAGGGGCUAAUUUCCUGCCUUGUAGGAGCAAGUACUCUCUGUGGAUGAGAGUGGGAAGGAAGGCUUCAAGUUUGGUGAAUUAAUUU